Molecule: ribosomal RNA, 253 nt
Filed under: uncultured bacterium
Lineage: Bacteria
Description: partial 16S ribosomal RNA
Rfam family: Bacterial small subunit ribosomal RNA
Source: RNAcentral
UACGGAGGGGGCUAGCGUUGUUCGGAAUUACUGGGCGUAAAGCGCACGUAGGCGGCUUUGUAAGUUAGAGGUGAAAGCCCAGGGCUCAACCCUGGAAUUGCCUUUAAGACUGCAUCGCUAGAAUUGUGGAGAGGUAAGUGGAAUUCCGAGUGUAGAGGUGAAAUUCGUAGAUAUCAGGAGGAACACCGGUGGCGAAAGCGGCUUCCUGGCCCGACACUGACGCUCAUGUACGAAAGCGUGGGGAGCAAACAGG